UACGGAGGGUGCAAGCGUUAAUCGGAAUUACUGGGCGUAAAGCGCGCGUAGGUGGUUUGAUAAGCGAGAUGUGAAAGCCCCGGGCUUAACCUGGGAACGGCAUUUCGAACUGUAGGCUAGAGUAUGGUAGAGGUAGUGGAAUUUCCUGUGUAGCGGUGAAAUGCGUAGAUAUAGGAAGGAACACCAGUGGCGAAGGCGGCUAUCCAGACCAAUACUGACACUGAGGUGCGAAAGCGUGGGGAGCAAACAGGGAUUAGA
This 258-nucleotide ribosomal RNA is filed under the name uncultured bacterium. Its description in RNAcentral is "partial 16S ribosomal RNA". It matches the Rfam family "Bacterial small subunit ribosomal RNA", at positions 524 to 782 of the family's 1533-position model. The record is from RNAcentral.